GUCCUUUUGGCAUCUCUUUAAGUCCUGGCCGAAUUGUUUGAUAAAUUGCAAAGUGCCUCGCAAACUUUGGCCCAUACAGUGCCCGCCCAACCUCAGCAACAGUUGAAUGUCCUGUCAGAGGCAGACGAGACGACAAUUUGUUGCUGCUGUUGUUGUUGUUGGGCGGCUCACGCGGUGGGCGGGGGCGUGACCGGCAUAUUUAUUUGUGCAUAUCGAGCUAUUUUCGUUUGCGUGUGUGUAUGUGUGGGCCCAACAACGGGACUUUAGGUGCUGGUCCUAAGCCCGUUUUAUGGCAAGCGUUGAAAGUCACAAAAUUUCGUUCGUUAGUCGCAGGCAGAGCCCAAAUGGAAGGUAAAGUAUGACAGCGAACAGUAUAUUAUAGUAUGUAGAAGCAGCUGUGAUAAAUAGUGCGCAUAUUAUACGAAGCAAGAAGUAUACGACAUACAAAACAAAACAACAAAACAAAACGAAUACAAAAACAACAAAAUAUAAAAACGGAACAACAACAACAAGCAUCUUCAAGCCAAACAAUCUGAGAGGAAGAUUUCGAAGUAAACGAAAAAUAGAAGACCAAGCAGAAGAAGAAGAGGCAGCUGCAAAAGGCCCGAGCAAUGGAUUUAUGACAACAACAAUAACCCACGAGCAGAGCUAAAAGGCAACAGCAACUGCAAACUAUGUUGCCUGGCCCACACAAGCAGCGACUACAACAACUACAACAACAGCAACUAGAAA
Long non-coding RNA from Drosophila mojavensis, 732 nucleotides. RefSeq lists it as uncharacterized. The record is from RefSeq and is a predicted model, not a curated record. The transcript has 2 exons. Lineage: Eukaryota; Metazoa; Arthropoda; Insecta; Diptera; Drosophilidae.